CAAUAGCGUAUAUUUAAGUUGUUGCAGUUAAAAGCUCGUAGUCGGAUUUCGGGUCGGGCCGAGCGGUCUGCCGAUGGGUAUGCACUGUUUGGCGCGGCCUUCUUUCCGGAGACCGCGGCUACUCUUAACUGAGCGGGCGUGGGAGACGGAUCGUUACUUUGUAAAAAUCAGAGUGUUUCUAAGCAGGCAGCUCGCUCUUGCAUAGGUUAGCAUGGGAUAAUUUAAUAGGACUCUGGUGCUAUUUUGUUGGUUUCGAACACCGGAGUAAAUGAUUAAAAAGGGCAGUCAGGGGCACUCGUAUUCCGUCGAGAGAGGUGAAAUUCUCAGACCAAUGGAAGACGAACCACUGCGAAAAGCAUUUUGCCAGGGAUGUUUUCACUGAU
Molecule: ribosomal RNA, 383 nt
Filed under: uncultured eukaryote
Lineage: Eukaryota
Description: SSU rRNA
Rfam family: Eukaryotic small subunit ribosomal RNA
Source: RNAcentral